This 390-nucleotide unclassified non-coding RNA is filed under the name soil metagenome. RNAcentral describes it as "partial contains 5.8S ribosomal RNA, internal transcribed spacer 2, and large subunit ribosomal RNA". The stretch from base 1 to 122 matches the Rfam family "5.8S ribosomal RNA", at positions 35 to 154 of the family's 154-position model. The record is from RNAcentral.
GAUGAAGAACGUAGUGAAAUGCGAUAAGUAAUGUGAAUUGCAGAAUUCAGUGAACCAUCGAGUCUUUGAACGCAAGUUGCGCCCGAAGCCACUAGGCCGAGGGCACGCCUGCCUGGGCGUCACACGUCGUUCCCCCCCCAUCUACUCCUUCGGGAUUGCAGGGGGCGGAUGAUGGCCUCCCGUGCGCCUCGCCGCGCGGUUGGCAUAAAUACCAAGUCCUCGACGACGCACGCCACGACAAUCGGUGGUUGCGAAACCUCGGUUGCCCGUCGUGUGCGUUCGUCGCGCAUCGAGGGCUCGAAAAAAUGCUCGGCUCCGGCUCGGCUUUCAACGCGACCCCAGGUCAGGCGGGGUUACCCGCUGAAUUUAAGCAUAUCAAUAAGCGGAGGA